Long non-coding RNA from Neopsephotus bourkii (Bourke's parrot), 420 nucleotides. RefSeq lists it as uncharacterized. The record is from RefSeq and is a predicted model, not a curated record. Lineage: Eukaryota; Metazoa; Chordata; Aves; Psittaciformes; Psittacidae. The transcript has 2 exons.
UCUUCUUCUUUUACACUGACUGACCCUUUGUUGAAAGGAGUGGAACUACCUGGGGAGAAAGGCAAUUGCUGUAACUAAAUGUUUCCAGAAUUCAAUUGAAGAAGGCUGAUGCUGCACUUGUAACUGUUUUGUCCAGGAGAGAAGAGAGUCAUGGCUGUAGAUACUGCAUACAGAUCCAUAAAGUCAGGAGGUGGAAACCAAAAAGCCAAUGUAACUUCACUCCUGAGCAAAUGAAAAGCAAGAAAGGGAAUUCAUUCUCUUCUUUGGUAACUUUAAGGGAAUCCUUACUGUAACGAAGACUCCCUAGCAUGAACUGAAUUUGGAGGCCAAGUCUAGCACACAUUAAUUGGAAAACUAUGACCAAGAUACUUAAAACACUGGAGUGCUUGGUUUAAGAAUAAAGGAAUAUUUUGGAAUACA